GAUGAAGAACGUAGCGAAAUGCGAUAAGUAAUGCGAAUUGCAGAAUUUCCGUGAGUCAUCGAAUCUUUGAACGCACAUUGCGCCCACUGGUAUUCCGGUGGGCAUGCCUGUUCGAGCGUCAUUAUCCUCCCUCAAACCCCGGGUUUGGUGUUGGACCCAAGUUGUGUGAACAACUGGUCUCAAAGACAAUGACGGCGUCCGUGGGACCCUCGGUGCAACGAGCUUUUAGGAGCACGCGCCGAGUUGCAAGGACCUUCCGGGCCGGUCUCCUUUACUAUUUUACAAGGUUGACCUCGGAUCAGGUAGGAAUACCCGCUGAACUUAAGCAUAUCAAAAGCGGAGGA
Molecule: unclassified non-coding RNA, 344 nt
Filed under: soil metagenome
Description: partial contains 5.8S ribosomal RNA, internal transcribed spacer 2, and large subunit ribosomal RNA
Rfam family: 5.8S ribosomal RNA (bases 1-121)
Source: RNAcentral